UGUCUCGGUCGGAUGUGGAACGGUUUGUGCCGGUCCGCCAAUCGGCUCGGGACAUUGACCGACGCGGAUUGUGAUGGUGGCCCAAGCCUGGGUUGUUGAAAUGCUCGCGGAGACGUCAUCAUCACGAUUGUGGGCUACAGCGCGCGCUGAUUCGGCGUGCUUCGGCACAUGCGCGCUCCUGGCGUCGGCCUGUGGGCUCCCCAUUCGACCCGUCUUGAAACACGGACCAAGGAGUCUGACAUGUGUGCGAGUCAACGGGUGAGUAAACCCGUUAGGCGCAAGGAAGCUGAUUGGUGGGAUCCUCUUGUGGGUUGCACCGCCGACCGACCCCGAUCUUUUGUGAAGGGUUCGAGUGAGAGCAUACCUGUCGGGACCCGAAAGAUGGUGAACUAUGCCUGAGCGGGGCGAAGCC
Molecule: non-coding RNA, 412 nt
Filed under: Gossypium arboreum
Lineage: Eukaryota; Viridiplantae; Streptophyta; Magnoliopsida; Malvales; Malvaceae
Description: Eukaryotic large subunit ribosomal RNA
Rfam family: Eukaryotic large subunit ribosomal RNA
Source: Rfam by way of RNAcentral